GCUCCCAUAGUUUAAUGGAUAGAACGUAAGCUUCCGGAGCUUAUGAUCGAGGUUCGAUUCCUCGUGGGAGCA
This is a non-coding RNA of Candidatus Kaiserbacteria bacterium, 72 nucleotides long. The record is from Rfam. NCBI's taxonomy places the organism in Bacteria, Candidatus Kaiseribacteriota.